UGGGUUAGAGAACGUACCUAUAUGCCUAUUGAAGCACUUUACUUGGACUAGGGCCUGGGUCUCCGGGUUGUGCUUGGUGCUCUGCUUCGAUGACGACUUUUUCUUAGGGAAGAUUACCACUUGCCAUUCGCUAGAGGUUGAUCCUUAAUUGCCGGUGGACGUAGUGGGGGUAUCAGAUGAUAAUGUGGCCGGUGGAUUUGUGUGGCAUCCUCUUAGAGUAUGCCCUAACUUCCCUCAGAUAUUAUAAAGUACAUUUUCUCCUUCGUAAACCAUUGUUUGCCGGUGGAAGCCAAUGGUGACAUGGUUUUUAGCUGGGAAUUCCAAUGAGACUUGCACGCAUAUCCUCGAGUACCUUCCUCUCAGCGUGGUCGAGGUGCACGUAUCUAUUUUCAGCAAAGUGCCUGUUUUCUUCCAACUCUUUCAAGAAUGUCUUUGUCAUAAAACUCCAUCGGUAAGUGAGGGAGCUCCACCCAUAUUGCAGUGUGUGUGAGGGUGGCUUGAUGGGGAACGAAAUUUGGUUCUUAUUUACGUACUGUGAGAAAGUUUCCAAUGAUGAACCAGGGUCCCUCCUUUAGGACCUUAUUGAUGCUUUCCUGGAGGGGUGAACUUUGCUACGAAGUAGUCAUUCCCUAAGUCUAUGAGUACCAAAUUCUCCUACAGCUUCCAGAUAUCCAUAAGCUUAUUUCGGAGAUUGAGGCUUCUCCUUAGCAACAACACGGCAGGAACCCUAAGUGAAUUCGCAAUUACAACCACAAAAAAGCGGCCAAGGAACAUGGAGGAGACACGGUUUUCCAAAUGAUAUGUUAUUCCAGAUACUAACAUGGCUUUCAGCUAAAUCUCUCAUGCAAUUCAGGUGUGUUUCUAAAGGGAUUAUCUUUACAACUCGUGCAUCCCCGUCAUUAUUUCGACAGAAUGAGAAAGAACAUCAUUUGCUCAAAUCAUUGCCUACAAAGAUACACAAACUUUCUUGUAUAAUAUCACCACAGGGGAGAUGAAAGUUUUGACAUUCUCUGUUAAAAGAUUUCCACGACAUGAUCCGCCUGAGUUGUUAUUGAGAUUUGAUCCGCAUAUGGAAAAAUACAAAUUGCUUAAUUUUGUAUAUAGCAUGAAAACGAAAGGUUAUGACAUGAACUCUUGGAACCAACUCUUGGAGAAAAAUCGAUGAGAAGUGCCCGAAUAAACCAUGGGAUUGUUGUAAUUAUGUCUUCCUCAAUGAAGUACUUUAUUGGAA
Long non-coding RNA from Capsicum annuum, 1231 nucleotides. RefSeq lists it as uncharacterized. The transcript has 2 exons. The record is from RefSeq and is a predicted model, not a curated record. NCBI's taxonomy places the organism in Eukaryota, Viridiplantae, Streptophyta, Magnoliopsida, Solanales, Solanaceae.